GAUGAAGAACGCAGCGAAAUGCGAUAAGUAGUGUGAAUUGCAGAAUUCAGUGAAUCAUCGAAUCUUUGAACGCACAUUGCGCCCUUUGGUAUUCCAAAGGGCAUGCCUGUUCGAGCGUCAUUUGUACCCUCAAGCUUUGCUUGGUGUUGGGCGUCUUGUCUCUAGCUUUGCUGGAGACUCGCCUUAAAGUAAUUGGCAGCCGGCCUACUGGUUUCGGAGCGCAGCACAAGUCGCACUCUCUAUCAGCAAAGGUCUAGCAUCCAUUAAGCCUUUUUUUCAACUUUUGACCUCGGAUCAGGUAGGGAUACCCGCUGAACUUAAGCAUAUCAAUAGCGGAGGA
This 340-nucleotide unclassified non-coding RNA is filed under the name soil metagenome. Its description in RNAcentral is "partial contains 5.8S ribosomal RNA, internal transcribed spacer 2, and large subunit ribosomal RNA". The stretch from base 1 to 120 matches the Rfam family "5.8S ribosomal RNA", at positions 35 to 154 of the family's 154-position model. The record is from RNAcentral.